AUGGACUUGACCUGGAUGUUGAUGCCAGGUGACCCAGUGGUAUGUGUGGGCCAGAUCGCUUCCGAAAAAACUAGGAAGGACUUGGGGCCUGGGGCUCCCAGAGACUUUGCUCAGUGUCCUCAGACUGUCCCUGGAACUGGGAGUCUAAAUUCACCUCUGAUCCUUUCUGAUUCUCUGGUUCUCUUUGGGUGCGGAUACCACAUGCCUCCCUACCAGCCUGUGACUGAUGGGGAGUGGGUACCGGGCCCCCUCGCUCUGGGACAGGGGGUAGAAGUCUACCUCCAACAGGUUACUAUCUUUUUCUGCAGUUUCCAGGAUGAGUAUGGAGACAAACAAGGCAUGAGGCACCCUGGAGAAAUCGUGUGUCCAUCAGCAUCUCUCUUCGGCCCAUUCUGGCUCCAGGAGCUGGAUGGUGGAGCCAGAUGAUGGAGCCAGGAUUGGGCAACAACAUACAUUCGAGGCAUCCACCUUUCCUGGUGAGUUCAUCUUGGUUUUGUAUCUGCUGUUCUUUUAUUUCUUCUCCUUAUUCAUAUUUUGACCAUGUUUUAUACCUACCAUCAAAAAAUAGAUGUUCCCAUUGUGGCUCAGUGUGUUACGGACUCAAUUAGUAUCCAUGAGGAUGUGGGUUCAAUCCCUGACCUCGAUCAGUGGGUUAAGGAUCUGGCAUUGCUGUGGUGUAGGCCGGCAGUUGCAGCUCAGAUUCAACCCCUAGCCUGAGAACUUCCAUAUGCCACAAGUGUGGCCCUAAAAAACAGCAAAAAAACCAAAAAAAACAAAACAAAAAAAGGAUUGUCUCCCAAACAUUAGUUCUUGUGAUUCCUUAGCUCUCAGGGAUGUAGACAUGUCUGCAUUUGAUGGGGUUUUCUUUACCUUCCCUCCAAGUUCAGUACAUGCUUUGUAGUCUUAAUGAAUCACCUUUCGCCGUCUAUGGAGGUUAUUUCCCCCCUAAUUUAAAGAAAGGAUCUGCCAGUGGAACAACCUAAAUGAACUGAAAUGCCCCUGCCGAGUGCGCUUGCCCGGAGGACAGGCUCGUCGUUGAUAGACUUUAAUCAGAUCCCUCUUCUCCGUUCCCAGGAAAUCCUCCUUCAGUGAACUUCUCCUAACCCUGUCUCUGGGGUGUCACCCGGCCGUAAGGCCAGCGGGGGAGUCGUUUUUGGAAGGCCGCAUGGGGAACAGCUUUGGUGAAGUGUCUUUUCCUCUCCAAGAAAGAUCACAGGAAAACCUUUUGCUCAGAAUAAGCAUUUUGGAAGGGUGCUUGGCAGGCUUUGGCCCUUCAGUGGGGGCAGCACCCUCCCGGGGAGCUGGGGUGUCAGCAGCAGCGGGAGCAGCAACCUCAGCCUUGGGGGGCCCAAGCCACUCCUUCUAGCCCCCUCCCCUGUUAAGGAAUGUCCACCUUCCCUCGGACCCAGGUGUGGGUUUGUCUUUU
Molecule: long non-coding RNA, 1426 nt
Filed under: Sus scrofa (pig)
Lineage: Eukaryota; Metazoa; Chordata; Mammalia; Artiodactyla; Suidae
Description: lncRNA (ENSSSCG00070014729.1)
Source: RNAcentral